This 1249-nucleotide long non-coding RNA is filed under the name Salvia miltiorrhiza (redroot sage). RNAcentral describes it as "long non-coding RNA (SMIL_LNC000764)". Lineage: Eukaryota; Viridiplantae; Streptophyta; Magnoliopsida; Lamiales; Lamiaceae. The record is from RNAcentral.
GGCAAUUGUGUUUGUGUAUGUUGCCCUAUGAUGAAUUUGAACCCAUCAAAAUUAUUGUUUCAAACAAAAGAUGCUUACAAAAACAGAUUUACAUGUCAAGCACAUCAAAAUGAUUGUUCAUGGUGUUUGUAUCUCUAAACCCUGAACUACCUGUGUACUAUUCUACUCAUUAAUCCCUAUUUGAUGCAGCCCUUCUAUGACAUCUCCAAGGUUGUGAAUUUCACAUUCCAACUGUAGGAACUCUAUACUUUCCCUUACCAGCCCUUCUUGAACCUGAAUACAAUCUGGUAGUCUGCCUUGUCUUGUGAGUCUAUCUUUGUUCAUGUGGGGAAUUUUAUAGUUAUUCACACCCUUUGCCUUGAUUAUUUUGUGAUAACAGCUUUGCAAAGUCAGGAAUACAUUGUUUAGCUUCUCAAAUGGGUAUUUAUCAUAGGCAUCUUUCACAUUCUUUAGCAACUCAUCCACAUCACUUGCUGGUUUUUGAUCUUUCAAUGUCUGUAUAGCCCUGAAAAAAUCAAGAUGGUGAAGCCUCACUCCAACACCUAAUCUAAAUGAUGUUAAAGACGUCGGAAAUCACCUGUGUAGUCGGAGAAUCAAAGGAAAAACUUGCAGAGAACUCAAAACUCUUCUAAAACUCUAUUUCGUAUAUCUUCACUUGCGAAGAAGGUUACAAUUUAUAGGAGUUUACAAGGACCAAGGGUACAUUAGACUUUCUACUCUAAUUCACGUACUCCACAUGCUAGAGUGCGUGCCUAGGUCAUUAUCGGAGGAAUAUUCUUUACUAACUAACUUGCAGCUUUACAAAUGUUAAUGUCCCUCUGAGCAGCGCAGGCUAGCGUUGUUCCGGCUGUGCAGGCGAUCACUUGUCCUCGAGGCUGCGCAGACGCUUUCCUUAACACGACUUGAUUACUGAGCUCUACGGCUGCGCAGUCCCCGCGUUCUCCGCAUCUUGGCUAUUGACUCGUGGUUGUCAUAGUCCUGUAUUGUUAGUCCUGCGCUGAAGGGAUCCUUACUCCUCAUCACAAGAUCAUUCACAUUCGUAUCCGACGAAUUAGCUGACUGACAUACUAGUUGGAUUUUAAAUCCUUCAGUGUUUGCAACCGCUAAAAAGUCCGAAUCAUCAGGUUUUAUGUGGGGUUUGGCAUUGUCUUGUUGGAUGAAUAUGUUCUUGUUUGCUGUUUGUGGCCACUUAGCUUUAAAGUAGGGGACCAUCUGCCAAAGAGCAAAAGCUAAAUGAUGAGUUUUUAAA